ACUCCUACGGGAGGCAGCAGUGGGGAAUUUUGGACAAUGGGCGAAAGCCUGAUCCAGCCAUUCCGCGUGAGUGAAGAAGGCCUUCGGGUUGUAAAGCUCUUUCGCAAGGAAAGAAAACUUAUCUCCUAAUACGAGGUGAGGUUGACGGUACCUUGAUAAGAAGCACCGGCUAACUACGUGCCAGCAGCCGCGGUAAUACGUAGGGUGCGAGCGUUAAUCGGAAUUACUGGGCGUAAAGCGUGCGCAGGCGGUUUUGUAAGUCAGAUGUGAAAUCCCCGGGCUCAACCUGGGAACUGCGUUUGAAACUACAAGGCUAGAGUGUAGAAGAGGGGGGUAGAAUUCCACGUGUAGCAGUGAAAUGCGUAGAGAUGUGGAGGAAUACCGAUGGCGAAGGCAGCCCCCUGGGCUAACACUGACGCUCAUGCACGAAAGCGUGGGGAGCAAACAGGAUUAGAUACCCUGGUAGUCCACGCCCUAAACGAUGUCUACUAGUUGUUGGAGGAGUAAAAUCCUUUAGUAACGCAGCUAACGCGUGAAGUAGACCGCCU
This 548-nucleotide ribosomal RNA is filed under the name uncultured bacterium. Its description in RNAcentral is "bacterial SSU rRNA". It matches the Rfam family "Bacterial small subunit ribosomal RNA", at positions 335 to 874 of the family's 1533-position model. The record is from RNAcentral.